Molecule: unclassified non-coding RNA, 204 nt
Filed under: Hevea brasiliensis (rubber tree)
Lineage: Eukaryota; Viridiplantae; Streptophyta; Magnoliopsida; Malpighiales; Euphorbiaceae
Source: RNAcentral
GAUCUGAAUAUUAGAAUUUCACUUCAGCACGUCCUCAUCCCAAGGCCAAGAAUAUAAGUAAAUAGAGUUCAACCUAUCGCAUGAUAAUAAAGCAUGUAAGUUCAUUCUCAUUGACAGACCCAUUCGUCCUCAUUGACAGACCCUAUUAGCUAAUGCAAUGCAAAUGAUAUUAAAAAAUGCAUUCUUAUCUACCUGCACCAGCGC